UACGUAGGGGGCAAGCGCUGUCCGGAAUCAUUGGGCGUAAAGAGCGUGUAGGCGGCUUGGUAAGUCCGCUGUGAAAGUCCAGGGCUCAACCCUGGAAUGCCGGUGGAAACUGUCAAGCUUGAGUCCGGAAGAGGCGAGUGGAAUUCCUGGUGUAGCGGUGAAAUGCGCAGAUAUCAGGAGGAACACCAAUGGCGAAGGCAGCUCGCUGGGACGGUACUGACGCUGAGACGCGAAAGCGUGGGGAGCAAACAGG
This 253-nucleotide ribosomal RNA is filed under the name uncultured bacterium. RNAcentral describes it as "partial 16S ribosomal RNA". It matches the Rfam family "Bacterial small subunit ribosomal RNA", at positions 524 to 776 of the family's 1533-position model. The record is from RNAcentral.